RNAcentral lists this ribosomal RNA (289 nucleotides) under uncultured Rheinheimera sp. RNAcentral describes it as "partial 16S ribosomal RNA". The record is from RNAcentral. Lineage: Bacteria; Pseudomonadati; Pseudomonadota; Gammaproteobacteria; Chromatiales; Chromatiaceae.
CUACUGGGGUAUCUAAUCCUGUUUGCUCCCCACGCUUUCGCACCUGAGCGUCAGUGUUGUGCCAGGGGGCCGCCUUCGCCACUGGUAUUCCUCCAAAUCUCUACGCAUUUCACCGCUACACUUGGAAUUCUACCCCCCUCUCACACACUCUAGUUGUCCAGUUUUGAAUGCAAUUCCCAGGUUGAGCCCGGGGCUUUCACAUCCAACUUAAACAACCGCCUACGUGCGCUUUACGCCCAGUAAUUCCGAUUAACGCUUGCACCCUCUGUAUUACCGCGGCUGCUGGCAC